GGGGAUGUAGCUCAAUCGGUAGAGCAUUAAUCAAAGCAUGCUAAAGGUGCGAGGUUCGAUUCGAUUCCUUGCAUCUCCA
RNAcentral lists this transfer RNA (79 nucleotides) under Dichanthelium oligosanthes. It matches the Rfam family "tRNA". From Rfam's summary of the family: Transfer RNA (tRNA) molecules are approximately 80 nucleotides in length. Their secondary structure includes four short double-helical elements and three loops (D, anti-codon, and T loops). The record is from Rfam by way of RNAcentral. Lineage: Eukaryota; Viridiplantae; Streptophyta; Magnoliopsida; Poales; Poaceae.